GUGCCAGCAGCCGCGGUAAUACGUAGGUGGCAAGCGUUACUCGGAAUCACUAGGCGUAAAGCGCAAGCAGGCGGUUCGGUAAGUCUUUUGUGAAAGCUCCCGGCUCAACUGGGAGAGGUCAAGGGAAACUGCCGGGCUAGAGUGUGGUAGAGGAAGCUGGAAUUCCCGGUGUAGCGGUGAAAUGCGUAGAUAUCGGGAGGAAUACCUAUGGCGAAAGCAGGCUUCUGGGCCAUCACUGACGCUGAGUUGCGAAAGCUAGGGGAGCAAACAGGAUUAGAUACCCUGGUAGUCC
Molecule: ribosomal RNA, 292 nt
Filed under: uncultured bacterium
Lineage: Bacteria
Description: partial 16S ribosomal RNA
Rfam family: Bacterial small subunit ribosomal RNA
Source: RNAcentral